UAGCUCAGUUGGUAGAGUGCUUGUCUUGCAUACACAAGGCCCUGGGUUCAAUCCCCAG
Molecule: transfer RNA, 58 nt
Filed under: Ictidomys tridecemlineatus (thirteen-lined ground squirrel)
Lineage: Eukaryota; Metazoa; Chordata; Mammalia; Rodentia; Sciuridae
Description: Spermophilus tridecemlineatus (thirteen-lined ground squirrel) tRNA
Rfam family: tRNA
About the family: Transfer RNA (tRNA) molecules are approximately 80 nucleotides in length. Their secondary structure includes four short double-helical elements and three loops (D, anti-codon, and T loops). Further hydrogen bonds mediate the characteristic L-shaped molecular structure. tRNAs have two regions of fundamental functional importance: the anti-codon, which is responsible for specific mRNA codon recognition, and the 3' end, to which the tRNAs corresponding amino acid is attached (by aminoacyl-tRNA synthetases). tRNAs cope with the degeneracy of the genetic code in two manners: having more than one tRNA (with a specific anti-codon) for a particular amino acid; and 'wobble' base-pairing, i.e. permitting non-standard base-pairing at the 3rd anti-codon position.
Source: Rfam by way of RNAcentral